This 74-nucleotide transfer RNA is filed under the name Spirochaetota bacterium. Its description in RNAcentral is "tRNA-His". It matches the Rfam family "tRNA". Rfam says of the family: Transfer RNA (tRNA) molecules are approximately 80 nucleotides in length. Their secondary structure includes four short double-helical elements and three loops (D, anti-codon, and T loops). The record is from RNAcentral. Lineage: Bacteria; Pseudomonadati; Spirochaetota.
GGGAGUGUAGCUCACCUGGUUAGAGUGCCAGAUUGUGGUUCUGGAUGUAGUGGGUUCAAGUCCCAUCACUCCCC